This 986-nucleotide non-coding RNA is filed under the name Lambis lambis. RNAcentral describes it as "12S ribosomal RNA". The stretch from base 218 to 986 matches the Rfam family "Microsporidia small subunit ribosomal RNA". The record is from RNAcentral. Lineage: Eukaryota; Metazoa; Mollusca; Gastropoda; Littorinimorpha; Strombidae.
UUAUCUUGACUUAAAAGUAAAAUGAAGUGUUUAACAAAUAUUAAUAUUUUAAUCAGGUAACCAGAAAUAACAUUAUCUCAAUGCAAAGCUUGGCUCUGACUUACAUGUACAACAAGGAUAAAGAAAUACACAUGGUACUUAUUAGAAGAGGUGAGGAUAAAUAAUGUAAAAACUAAAAGUGUAAAACUUUAUUAUUUCACAUUACUAUUAGUAUUAUAAACUGCAUGAUGCUCUGACUAUGUCCCACUAACACCAGUGACUAAUAUUAAUUUAAGGGUGAGAGCUUGUCUUAGACUAAUCUUGUAGGUCUGGUUAACUUGGUGCCAGCAUCCGCGGUUAUACCAAGAAGACCAAGUUGUACUUAGCACGGUUAAAAGACAGUUAGGUAAAAAGUUUUUGUUAUUAGAUUUCUUGUUUAAGGGUGCAAUCUGAAUUCAAGCAAAAGUUCUGUAAAUAACAUUAUCUUUAACACUGAAGCUGUGAAAAUCUAGAGGGAAACUAGGAUUAGAUACCCUACUAUUCUUGAUAGUAAAUUGAUGUUCAUUAAAUCUACCAGAGUACUACGAAACAUAAUAAAAUUUAAAACUCAAAGGGCUUGGCGGUGCUUUAGACCACUUAGGGGAACCUGUCUCAUAAUCGACAAUCCACGUAAUACCCUACCUUAGUUUGCUUCCAGUAUGUAUACCGUCGUCGGCAGGUAACUUUUAAGAAAUAAGAAGUUAGCAAAAUAAGAUCCUAAAACUAACUUAUCUGUUACGUCAGAUCAUGGUGCAGCCUAUAUUAAGGAGAGGAUGGGUUACAAUUAAGAUUCAUAAUUACGGAAGAAAACAAGAAUUACCUGUUGUCAGAAGGAGGACUUAAAAGUAAAUGUAACUAGAUAAAUUCAUUGAAUAAGGCUCUGAAGCGUGCACACAUCGCCCGUCGCUCUCGUUGAAAAAUGAGAUAAGUCGUAACAUAGUAGGAGUAAUGGAAAUUGCUCCUUGUUG